AUUGAACGCUGGCGGCAUGCCUUACACAUGCAAGUCGAACGGCAGCACGGGUGCUUGCACCUGGUGGCGAGUGGCGAACGGGUGAGUAAUACAUCGGAACGUACCUUAUCGUGGGGGAUAACGCAGCGAAAGCUGUGCUAAUACCGCAUACGCCCUGAGGGGGAAAGCGGGGGAUCGAAAGACCUCGCGCGAUUAGAGCGGCCGAUGCCUGAUUAGCUUGUUGGUGGGGUAAAAGCCCACCAAGGCGACGAUCAGUAGCUGGUCUGAGAGGACGAUCAGCCACACUGGGACUAAGACACGGCCCAGACUCCUACGGGAGGCAGCAGUGGGGAAUUUUGGACAAUGGGGGCAACCCUGAUCCAGCAAUGCCGCGUGAGUGAAGAAGGCCUUCGGGUUGUAAAGCUCUUUUGUCAGGGAAGAAACACCGGCUCUAACACAGUCCGGGAAUGACGGUACCUGAAGAAUAAGCACCGGCUAACUACAUGCCAGCCGCCGCGGUAA
RNAcentral lists this ribosomal RNA (501 nucleotides) under uncultured bacterium. Its description in RNAcentral is "partial 16S ribosomal RNA". It matches the Rfam family "Bacterial small subunit ribosomal RNA", at positions 30 to 523 of the family's 1533-position model. The record is from RNAcentral.